Molecule: ribosomal RNA, 119 nt
Organism: Cricetulus griseus (Chinese hamster)
Lineage: Eukaryota; Metazoa; Chordata; Mammalia; Rodentia; Cricetidae
Source: Ensembl
GUCUAUGGCCAUCCCAACUUUAAUGUGCCAGAUCUUAUCGGAUCUCAGAAGCUAACCAAGGUUGGACCUAAUUAGUACUUGGAUGAGCGACUGCCUGGGAAUACCAGGUGCUUUUGGCC